AUUGAACGCUGGCGGCAGGCCUAACACAUGCAAGUCGAACGGUAACAGGAAGCAGCUUGCUGCUUUGCUGACGAGUGGCGGACGGGUGAGUAAUGUCUGGGAAACUGCCCGAUGGAGGGGGAUAACUACUGGAAACGGUAGCUAAUACCGCAUAACGUCGCAAGACCAAAGAGGGGGACCUUAGGGCCUCUUGCCAUCGGAUGUGCCCAGAUGGGAUUAGCUAGUAGGUGGGGUAACGGCUCACCUAGGCGACGAUCCCUAGCUGGUCUGAGAGGAUGACCAGCCACACUGGAACUGAGACACGGUCCAGACUCCUACGGGAGGCAGCAGUGGGGAAUAUUGCACAAUGGGCGCAAGCCUGAUGCAGCCAUGCCGCGUGUAUGAAGAAGGCCUUCGGGUUGAAAAGUACUUUCAGCGGGGAGGAAGGGAGUAAAGUUAAUACCUUUGCUCAUUGACGUUACCCGCAGAAGAAGCACCGGCUAACUCCGUG
Molecule: ribosomal RNA, 490 nt
Filed under: uncultured bacterium
Lineage: Bacteria
Description: partial 16S ribosomal RNA
Rfam family: Bacterial small subunit ribosomal RNA
Source: RNAcentral